AGUUAUUAAGUUUAAAACAUGAAUUUUGAAAAUUCAAAUUAGAGGUAUUAACCUCAAUAACUU
RNAcentral lists this transfer RNA (63 nucleotides) under Onisimus nanseni. RNAcentral's name for it is "tRNA-Ser". The record is from RNAcentral. Lineage: Eukaryota; Metazoa; Arthropoda; Malacostraca; Amphipoda; Lysianassidae.